Molecule: non-coding RNA, 30 nt
Organism: Desulfurobacterium sp.
Lineage: Bacteria; Pseudomonadati; Aquificota; Aquificia; Desulfurobacteriales; Desulfurobacteriaceae
Source: Rfam
GUUUCAAUUCCUUAGAGGUACGCUUAAAAC